This 610-nucleotide long non-coding RNA is filed under the name Salvia miltiorrhiza (redroot sage). Its description in RNAcentral is "long non-coding RNA (SMIL_LNC005518)". Lineage: Eukaryota; Viridiplantae; Streptophyta; Magnoliopsida; Lamiales; Lamiaceae. The record is from RNAcentral.
AAGGCGGGAGCAAUUAUUAAAUAUAGUUUAAUGAAAGUCUACAAAAUAUAUAGUUUACUGAAAAUAACAUAUCACUAUAAUGAUAGCAAAUUAGCAAUUAUGCGGAUGACAGUUCUUUUAGAGCAAUGGGGCUCCAAAAAUGUGGCUAGCACACAAAUAGAUAUGCACACGAAAAAGGGCUGAUUAAUAUGUAUACGUGAACGUGUAUAAUGGGAAAUGGAAUGCGAGAGAGGAGAAGAAUUGAUGAAGAAGAUGAAGUAGGAGUAGUGGUAAUGUGGAAUUUGAGAAGAAAUGAACAGAAGAAUAGACCCACCGCCCACCCAACCCAACUGCACUCUCUCUCUUCUCUCUCUGUUUUUCUUUUUAAAUUUCUUUCUGUACUUCAAAGUUGACGAAGAAAUAAACAAAUUACAGCGCCAUUAUUAAACCGUACUUCCUCAGCUAAAACGUCGGUGCGCUGUCUAAUUGGAGUUUCUUUUUCUUACCGAAGUGGAAAAAGGAUUUAAACUUGUGUUUUUUGUUUGCCGAGGAAAUGGCUCUGCUUGUCUUCUGCUACGCUUCGCCGAGUAUAAUUCCUACGCGGAAUAAAAUUAGGGGCAUAACUUUUUUU